UAUCUACUCCCUCCGUUCCAUAAUACAUGACUUCCAUUUGUCAAAAUAUAGAUGUAUCUAGACAUGUUUUAGUAUAUAGGUGCAUCCAUUUUUUCUAGACAUGUUUUAGUAUAUAGGUACAUCCAUUUUUGACAAAUGGAAGUCAAGUAUUUUGGAAUGGAGAGAGUAUAAC
Molecule: non-coding RNA, 172 nt
Organism: Triticum aestivum (bread wheat)
Lineage: Eukaryota; Viridiplantae; Streptophyta; Magnoliopsida; Poales; Poaceae
Source: Rfam